RNAcentral lists this transfer RNA (65 nucleotides) under Dipodomys ordii (Ord's kangaroo rat). It matches the Rfam family "tRNA". From Rfam's summary of the family: Transfer RNA (tRNA) molecules are approximately 80 nucleotides in length. Their secondary structure includes four short double-helical elements and three loops (D, anti-codon, and T loops). The record is from Rfam by way of RNAcentral. Lineage: Eukaryota; Metazoa; Chordata; Mammalia; Rodentia; Heteromyidae.
GGUGGCUCAGUAGUAGAGUGCUUGCCUUGCAUGCAUGAGGCUCUGGGUUCAAUUCCUCAGUACCA